This 639-nucleotide long non-coding RNA is filed under the name Medicago truncatula (barrel medic). Its description in RNAcentral is "lncRNA gene9711". The record is from RNAcentral. Lineage: Eukaryota; Viridiplantae; Streptophyta; Magnoliopsida; Fabales; Fabaceae.
GAUAAAAACCCAGAAUUAUUAACAUCUUCAUCUCUUCAUCUUUCUCAUCUCCAUAUAUUCAUCAUCCCUAAAAUUAAAAUUCCUAAAUUCACUUUCAACUUUAAUUCUCAUUAAACCUAAAAUUCAAAACUCUUUCAUCUCUUUUCUUCAAAUUGAUUUACUCCCUCCUUCAUCAUAUCAACACCAUCGUUCACCACAACCACCACCACUGUCCUCACCCAACAUCAUCAUCGGUGGAUUCAUCAUCAUCAUUAAUCAUAGGGAGAUAUUUAUAGCGAUUUUGGUUUCUGCAAUUUUGGAAUUCUUCAUUUAUAAUCAUUUGCUGCGAUUCUGAUUUUUAUUUUUUUUUGCUUAGUUUACAGUUUUGUUUUUUUGUCUAAAUUUGUGGGUUUGUUUAUAUUUGGAGAGGAGAAAGAUGAAGAUGAAGUUCAUAAGGGUAACAAUGAUGAAAAUCAAGUUGAUAUUGAUGUUGUUAAUGUGCCUAUGUUUGUAUUCUAUACCCCUUCCUUCACUUCCAUUCUCUCUGCAAUUUUCAGUUUGCAGUUUUUUUUUUCUCAUUUCAGAUUUUUAUUUUCUAUUAGUUAAUUAAUGUAAGUAUUCUUUUUAUUAAUAAAAUUAAUAAAAUAUGAUAUGCUGACA